RNAcentral lists this ribosomal RNA (402 nucleotides) under uncultured Blastocatella sp. RNAcentral describes it as "bacterial SSU rRNA". It matches the Rfam family "Bacterial small subunit ribosomal RNA", at positions 353 to 772 of the family's 1533-position model. The record is from RNAcentral. Lineage: Bacteria; Pseudomonadati; Acidobacteriota; Blastocatellia; Blastocatellales; Blastocatellaceae.
AGUCGGGAAUUUUGGGCAAUGGGCGAAAGCCUGACCCAGCAACGCCGCGUGAAGGAUGAAGUAUUUCGGUAUGUAAACUUCGUAAGAAUGGGAAGAAUAAAUGACGGUACCAUUUGUAAGGUCCGGCUAACUACGUGCCAGCAGCCGCGGUAAUACGUAGGGACCAAGCGUUGUUCGGAUUUACUGGGCGUAAAGGGUGCGUAGGCGGCGUGUCAAGUCAGUUGUGAAAUCUUAAGGCUUAACCUUAAGCGGUCAACUGAUACUGUCAUGCUAGAGUGCAGAAGGGGCAAUCGGAAUUCUUGGUGUAGCGGUGAAAUGCGUAGAUAUCAAGAGGAACACCUGAGGUGAAGACGGGUUGCUGGGCUGACACUGACGCUGAGGCACGAAAGCUAGGGUAGCAAA